RNAcentral lists this ribosomal RNA (494 nucleotides) under uncultured Anaerolineaceae bacterium. RNAcentral's name for it is "bacterial SSU rRNA". It matches the Rfam family "Bacterial small subunit ribosomal RNA", at positions 8 to 526 of the family's 1533-position model. Lineage: Bacteria; Bacillati; Chloroflexota; Anaerolineae; Anaerolineales; Anaerolineaceae. The record is from RNAcentral.
AGAGUUUGAUCCUGGCUCAGGAUGAACGCUGGCGGCGUGCCUAAUACAUGCAAGUCGGACGGAUGUAGCAAUACAUUAGUGGCGAACGGGUGAGUAACACGUAGGUGACCUGCCCUAAAGAGGGGAAUACCACUUCGAAAGGAGUGAUAAAACCGCAUAAACUUAUAGAAAUCAGAAAGCUAUAAGGAAAAGAGCGAUCUACUUUAGGAGGGGCCUGCGGCCCAUCAGCUAGUUGGUAGAGGUAACGGCCUACCAAGGCGAAGACGGGUAGGGGACCUGAGAGGGUGAUCCCCCACAAUGGAACUGAAACACGGUCCAUACACCUGCGGGUGGCAGCAGUAGGGAAUAUUGCUUAAUGGGCGAAAGCCUGAAGCAGCAACGCCGCGUGGACGAAGAAGGCCUUCGGGUUGUAAAGUUCUUUUAUAUGGGAUGAGGAAGGACAGUACCAUAUGAAUAAGUCUCGGCUAAGUACGUGCCAGCAGCCGCGGUAAUNC